AUGAAUGUCCUAAGCUGGAACUACCGAGGGGGUGGGAACUCCCGGACAGUUCGAGAUCUUGUGAGUCUUGUUCAGACUCAUUCCCCUAGUAUCGUUUUCCUUUGUGAGACUAGACAGUCUAAGAAUAAAAUGAAGAGGUAUCGCUCUCAGUUAGGUUUAAAUGGCUUCGACGCUUCAGACAGUGUUGGUCUUAGUGGUGGUUUGGCUUUGUAUUGGCAUGAG
This 222-nucleotide ribosomal RNA is filed under the name Triticum aestivum (bread wheat). RNAcentral describes it as "partial small subunit ribosomal RNA". The record is from RNAcentral. Lineage: Eukaryota; Viridiplantae; Streptophyta; Magnoliopsida; Poales; Poaceae.